Molecule: ribosomal RNA, 404 nt
Filed under: uncultured bacterium
Lineage: Bacteria
Description: bacterial SSU rRNA
Rfam family: Bacterial small subunit ribosomal RNA
Source: RNAcentral
UGGGGAAUCUUGGACAAUGGGCGCAAGCCUGAUCCAGCCAUGCCGCGUGAGUGACGAAGGCCUUAGGGUUGUAAAGCUCUUUUGGCGGGGACGAUAAUGACGGUACCCGCAGAAUAAGUCCCGGCUAACUUCGUGCCAGCAGCCGCGGUAAUACGAAGGGGACUAGCGUUGUUCGGAAUUACUGGGCGUAAAGCGCACGUAGGCGGAUUUGUAAGUCAGGGGUGAAAUCCCGGGGCUCAACCUCGGAACUGCCUUUGAUACUGCAAGUCUCGAGUCCGAUAGAGGUGGGUGGAAUUCCUAGUGUAGAGGUGAAAUUCGUAGAUAUUAGGAAGAACACCGGUGGCGAAGGCGGCCCACUGGAUCGGUACUGACGCUGAGGUGCGAAAGCGUGGGGAGCAAACAGG